Molecule: ribosomal RNA, 582 nt
Filed under: Mesorhizobium sp.
Lineage: Bacteria; Pseudomonadati; Pseudomonadota; Alphaproteobacteria; Hyphomicrobiales; Phyllobacteriaceae
Description: bacterial SSU rRNA
Rfam family: Bacterial small subunit ribosomal RNA
Source: RNAcentral
CUCUACGGAAUAGCUCCGGGAAACUGGAAUUAAUACCGUAUACGUCCUUCGGGAGAAAGAUUUAUCGGAGUUGGAUGAGCCCGCGUUGGAUUAGCUAGUUGGUGGGGUAAUGGCCUACCAAGGCGACGAUCCAUAGCUGGUCUGAGAGGAUGAUCAGCCACACUGGGACUGAGACACGGCCCAGACUCCUACGGGAGGCAGCAGUGGGGAAUAUUGGACAAUGGGCGCAAGCCUGAUCCAGCCAUGCCGCGUGAGUGAUGAAGGCCCUAGGGUUGUAAAGCUCUUUCAACGGUGAAGAUAAUGACGGUAACCGUAGAAGAAGCCCCGGCUAACUUCGUGCCAGCAGCCGCGGUAAUACGAAGGGGGCUAGCGUUGUUCGGAAUUACUGGGCGUAAAGCGCACGUAGGCGGAUACUUAAGUCAGGGGUGAAAUCCCGGGGCUCAACCCCGGAACUGCCUUUGAUACUGGGUAUCUCGAGUCCGAGAGAGGUGAGUGGAAUUCCGAGUGUAGAGGUGAAAUUCGUAGAUAUUCGGAGGAACACCAGUGGCGAAGGCGGCUCACUGGCUCGGUACUGACGCUGAG